CAGCAGCCACGAUAAGACAGAGGAUGCAAGCGUUAUCCGGAAUGAUUGGGCGUAAAGCGUCUGUAGGUGGCUUUUCGAGUCCGCCGUCAAAUCCCAGGGCUCAACCCUGGACAGGCGGUGGAAACUACCAAGCUGGAGUACGGUAGGGGCAGAGGGAAUUUCCGGUGUAGCGGUGAAAUGCGUAGAGAUGUGGAGGAACACCAGUGGCGAAGGCGACUCUCUGGUCUGUAACUGACGCUGAGGAGCGAAAGCGUGGGGAGCGAACAGGAUUAGAUACCCCGGUAGUCCCUGUCUCUUAUAC
This 301-nucleotide ribosomal RNA is filed under the name uncultured bacterium. RNAcentral's name for it is "partial 16S ribosomal RNA". It matches the Rfam family "Bacterial small subunit ribosomal RNA", at positions 509 to 807 of the family's 1533-position model. The record is from RNAcentral.